GUACUGAUAGCUUAAAAUAAAGCAUUAGUUUUGUAAACUAAAAAUGAAGGUUUAACUCCCUCUCAGCACU
Molecule: transfer RNA, 70 nt
Filed under: Nothobranchius ocellatus
Lineage: Eukaryota; Metazoa; Chordata; Actinopteri; Cyprinodontiformes; Nothobranchiidae
Description: tRNA-Thr
Rfam family: tRNA
About the family: Transfer RNA (tRNA) molecules are approximately 80 nucleotides in length. Their secondary structure includes four short double-helical elements and three loops (D, anti-codon, and T loops). Further hydrogen bonds mediate the characteristic L-shaped molecular structure. tRNAs have two regions of fundamental functional importance: the anti-codon, which is responsible for specific mRNA codon recognition, and the 3' end, to which the tRNAs corresponding amino acid is attached (by aminoacyl-tRNA synthetases). tRNAs cope with the degeneracy of the genetic code in two manners: having more than one tRNA (with a specific anti-codon) for a particular amino acid; and 'wobble' base-pairing, i.e. permitting non-standard base-pairing at the 3rd anti-codon position.
Source: RNAcentral